RNAcentral lists this ribosomal RNA (425 nucleotides) under uncultured bacterium. RNAcentral's name for it is "bacterial SSU rRNA". It matches the Rfam family "Bacterial small subunit ribosomal RNA", at positions 355 to 776 of the family's 1533-position model. The record is from RNAcentral.
UGGGGAAUUUUGCGCAAUGGGCGAAAGCCUGACGCAGCAACGCCGCGUGUGUGACGAAGGCCCUAGGGUUGUAAAGCACUGUGGGAAGGGAAGAAAAAACGGGGGUUGUACCCCGUCUUGACGGUACCUUGUUAGAAAGCACCGGCUAACUCCGUGCCAGCAGCCGCGGUAAUACGGAGGGUGCAAGCGUUGUUCGGAAUUAUUGGGCGUAAAGGGCGUGUAGGUGGCUAUGCAAGUCUGGUGUGAAAGCCCACGGCUCAACCGUGGAACUGCAUUGGAAACUGCAUAGCUCGAGUGUUGGAGGGGGUCGCGGAAUUCCCGGUGUAGAGGUGAAAUUCGUAGAUAUCGGGAGGAACACCAGUGGCGAAGGCGGCGACCUGGCCAAUUACUGACACUGAGACGCGAAAGCGUGGGGAGCAAACAGG